GAGUUUGAUCCUGGCUCAGGACGAACGCUGGCGGCGUGCCUAAUACAUGCAAGUCGAGCGGACAGAUGGGAGCUUGCUCCCUGAUGUUAGCGGCGGACGGGUGAGUAACACGUGGGUAACCUGCCUGUAAAAACUGGGAUAACUCCGGGAAACCGGGGCUAAUACCGGAUGGUUGUUUGAACCGCAUGGUUCAAACAUAAAAGGUGGCUUCGGCUACCACUUACAGAUGGACCCGCGGCGCAUUAGCUAGUUGGUGAGGUAACGGCUCACCAAGGCGACGAUGCGUAGCCGACCUGAGAGGGUGAUCGGCCACACUGGGACUGAGACACGGCCCAGACUCCUACGGGAGGCAGCAGUAGGGAAUCUUCCGCAAUGGACGAAAGUCUGACGGAGCAACGCCGCGUGAGUGAUGAAGGUUUUCGGAUCGUAAAGCUCUGUUGUUCGGGAAGAACAAGUACCGUUCGAAUAGGGCGGUACCUUGACGGUACCUAACCAGAAAGCCACGGCUAACUACGUGCCAGCAGCCGCGGUAAUACGUAGGUGGCAAGCGUUGUCCGGAAUUAUUGGGCGUAAAGGGCUCGCAGGCGGUUUCUUAAGUCUGAUGUGAAAGCCCCCCGGCUCAACCCGGGGAGGGUCAUUGGAAAACUGGGGGAACUUGAGUGCAGAAGGAGGAGAGUGGAAAUUCCACGUGUAGCGGUGAAAUGCGGUAGAGAUGUGGAGGACAACAGUGCGAGGCGACUCUUCUGGUCUGUACCUGACGCUGAGGAGCGAAGCGUGAGAGGCGACAGGAAUUAGCAUCCCUGGUAGUCACGCGGUAACGAAUUGAAGUCUCA
Molecule: ribosomal RNA, 833 nt
Filed under: Bacillus subtilis
Lineage: Bacteria; Bacillati; Bacillota; Bacilli; Caryophanales; Bacillaceae
Description: bacterial SSU rRNA
Rfam family: Bacterial small subunit ribosomal RNA
Source: RNAcentral